This 472-nucleotide ribosomal RNA is filed under the name uncultured bacterium. RNAcentral's name for it is "SSU rRNA". It matches the Rfam family "Bacterial small subunit ribosomal RNA", at positions 26 to 518 of the family's 1533-position model. The record is from RNAcentral.
AGAACGAACGUUAGCGGCGCGCCUAACACAUGCAAGUCGAGCGGAAAGGCCCUUCGGGGUACUCGAGCGGCGAACGGGUGAGUAACACGUGAGUAAUCUGCCCCUAGCUCUGGGAUAGCUCCGGGAAACCGGGAUUAAUACCAGAUACGACCACUUUAGACAUCUUCUGUGGUGGAAAGAACUUCGGCUAGGGAUGAACUCGCGGCCUAUCAGCUUGUUGGUGAGGUAACGGCUCACCAAGGCGACGACGGGUAGCCGGCCUGAGAGGGCGACCGGCCACACUGGGACUGAGACACGGCCCAGACUCCUACGGGAGGCAGCAGUGGGGAAUAUUGCGCAAUGGGCGAAAGCCUGACGCAGCGACGCCGCGUGGGGGAUGAAGGCCUUCGGGUUGUAACCCUUUCAGCAGGGACGAAGCGAAAGUGACGGUACCUGCAGAAGAAGCGCCGGCUAACUACGUGCCAGCAGCCGC